This is a long non-coding RNA of Mesocricetus auratus (golden hamster), 2332 nucleotides long. RefSeq lists it as uncharacterized. The transcript has 2 exons. The record is from RefSeq and is a predicted model, not a curated record. Lineage: Eukaryota; Metazoa; Chordata; Mammalia; Rodentia; Cricetidae.
CAAGCAGCCUCACAGUCUUAUUGCCACAGCCACAAGCCACUCUCCGCACCAUAAGUACUGUCACAAACACCACCAUGACUUCUGAAAUAAAGCCUCCCCGCCCCUGGCCCCUGAGCAGCUUCUUGUUGCGGGAUUCCUGCCUAGGUUCCGUUGUCAGUUUAGUCCCCAAAUAACACACAGGACACUGUAUUAAUUAUAAGCUGUUGGCCAUUUGUUAUUGUUUCUCAUUGGCUAGCUCUGACUUAAUUAUUGACCCAUAAUCACUAGUACAGACUUGCGUCCCCUCUUUCCGGGGAUCAGAUGGCGAUGGCUCAGUUCACUACAUUUCCCAAAAUCCUCCUAGACUCCUAGUCCCACCUAUCUUGCUUCCCUAUUGGCCAACAGUGCUUUAUUGACAUAUACACAGGACUUUCCCCAUCAGCUUCUUGCAGAUGUUUUGUCACAAUUACAAGCAAAGAGACUAGUGCAGAGAACUUUCUCCUGCCUUGUCUCCCUCCUCACCUCCUUGGGCCCAGCAAGAGGAAUGGCUUUCCGAGUCAAGCUGUCCAUCCUCUCGGGAGGGGUCAACAUAUGUUUGCAUCACCUACAAACUUGGAUAACAGAUAUUCUGAGAGGAGGCAAAGCCAUCAAUCACUAAGGAAAGUCAAGUUCUAAGAUGCUUCUGGUCUACAUUCUGGUCCACAGCUCCCACCUCAGCCCACCCCAAACCCAUCUGUGGUUGACCCUGCUAGUGAGCCUCAUGCUAAGACCCCUUUAAAUUCCCAACGCUCUCGGAAUAUAGGACAUUAAAAAGAAGUCUCAUGCAUAGUGCUGACGGGAUGGUGAACAAUCAAACGGUGCCCUCUCAAAAACAUGUUUGCAAAUCGGUGGAAACCAGCAUGUGGAACAUUGCAAUUAAAAUAAGGAAAAGGUGAUAGUGAUACCAACUAAAAAGUGCCUAAGUUCCUCUCCCGUAGGAAAUAUUCCAAAGCCAACCCAACUCAUGGGGAAAACUGCUGGCGCUCAUUCUCCCGCGCUGUUCUCCAUAAUUCUCUUAUCCUUUGGGCAUUUUGUGGCUCUGUCUCCUUUUAUAGCACACAGCAGUAGCAGCAGUUGGUACCUUAAAUGUGUGUGAAUUACAUAAAAGGCGAUCCUGAUUAGAGCUGAAGGUUUUAAUUAAAUGAGCAAUUAGCCUUGAGCAUGGAUGUUUAUACAAAAGGAAAAUCAGCUAAUUAAUUUGGAUAAUGACUUGCUCCUGCGAACAUGAGCCUGCCCGGGGCUUAGUGUGGCAAGAGGGGAAGGCCAUGGUGGAGAGAGUGUUUGCACCCUGUGGUUAACAAGUGGGGAAACAGCUGGGGUCAGGCUGGGGUCCCUACCAAGGGAAAGUCACAUGUCAUUAUUAAGUGGCCUGGGACACCUCGACGUCCCCCAGCCCUUCACCCAAGGAACACAAUACAUCUUCCUACCAACUGUCUAGAUCUCCACUGAAGGCUCCAGGACCUCUCCCUGCAGGCACAUCUGAUGCUGAAGCUGCAUGGACCUAGUCACCAAGAGAAAAGCAGCACCGAGAGGCAAAGUGACCGCGGUGGUGGUAAUUGUCAACUCAACAGAACCUGGAAUCAGGUGGGGUGUGGGCCCCUGGGCACGGCUGUGGAGAUCAUAGUGAUUGGGUGAGAAGACUCGUCCACUGUGGGUGGGGCCAUUCCCUGGCUGGGCUCUCCCACUGUGGAUGAAGAGGGUGAUCUGAGAACAGCAACAUAGAUCCCUUUCUCCUUUCCGACUAUGGACACUGUGUAACCAACUGCUUCAAGCUCCUGCUGUCUUGGCAUCUCACUACGAUGGACAGUAUCCUUGAGCUGUGAGCCGAAGCAAGCCCCCUUUCCUUUACAUUUUUGUCAGGUUAUUUUAUCACAGCAACGAGAGAAGAUACUAAGUCACCAUCCAAUCUCUCAGCCAAGACUUAACUCAGGAAUGCGACAAUGUUGGCUGGGCUUGAUUUUGUCAGUUCCUGGGGGAAAACAACCAAGAGACUUGCAAUGGUUCUAGAUUAGUUUCUGCUAAAUCAUUUAAAAUUUGGAACCAAGAAGGGAGUUUUUGUUGGUUUUAUGUUGUUGUUGUUGUUGCUGCUGCUGCUGAUUUGGUUUUGUUUGCUUGGGAGUGAAAUCUCUGUAUUAAUUUGUGUCUCCCUACCCCACUCAUACAAGAAUGGAAAUCGUCCUACUUCCUUGAAAACAGUGUUGUAGCAUGACUGAGGCCAGUGGUAGCCAAUGUUCAAGGCUACCUACCUUGCAGAAGGUUGUCAAAACCACUAAUGCUUGUAUCAAAACACUAAUAAAAGGACAUAUGGACUGUG